RNAcentral lists this ribosomal RNA (460 nucleotides) under uncultured bacterium. RNAcentral's name for it is "partial 16S ribosomal RNA". It matches the Rfam family "Bacterial small subunit ribosomal RNA", at positions 338 to 795 of the family's 1533-position model. The record is from RNAcentral.
CCUACGGGGGGCAGCAGUGAGGAAUCUUGGUCAAUGGACGAGAGUCUGAACCAGCCAAGUAGCGUGAAGGAUGACUGCCCUAUGGGUUGUAAACUUCUUUUAUAAAGGAAUAAAACGAGGCACGUGUGCCUUUUUGCAUGUACUUUAUGAAUAAGGAUCGGCUAACUCCGUGCCAGCAGCCGCGGUAAUACGGAGGAUCCGAGCGUUAUCCGGAUUUAUUGGGUUUAAAGGGAGCGUAGAUGGGUUGUUAAGUCAGUUGUGAAAGUUUGCGGCUCAACCGUAAAAUUGCAAUUGAUACUGGAAGUCUUGAGUACAGUUGAGGUAGGCGGAAUUCGAGGUGUAGCGGUGAAAUGCUUAGAGAUAACGAAGAACCCCGAUUGCGAAGGCAGCUUACUAAACUGUGACUGACAUUGAUGCUCGAAAGUGUGGGUAUCAAACAGGAUUAGAUACCCUUGUAGUC